UCCCUGGUAGCACAAAGGUUAAGUGCUUGGCUGCUAACUGAAAGGUUAGUAGUUCAAACCUACUCAGUGGAU
Molecule: transfer RNA, 72 nt
Filed under: Loxodonta africana (African savanna elephant)
Lineage: Eukaryota; Metazoa; Chordata; Mammalia; Proboscidea; Elephantidae
Rfam family: tRNA
About the family: Transfer RNA (tRNA) molecules are approximately 80 nucleotides in length. Their secondary structure includes four short double-helical elements and three loops (D, anti-codon, and T loops). Further hydrogen bonds mediate the characteristic L-shaped molecular structure. tRNAs have two regions of fundamental functional importance: the anti-codon, which is responsible for specific mRNA codon recognition, and the 3' end, to which the tRNAs corresponding amino acid is attached (by aminoacyl-tRNA synthetases). tRNAs cope with the degeneracy of the genetic code in two manners: having more than one tRNA (with a specific anti-codon) for a particular amino acid; and 'wobble' base-pairing, i.e. permitting non-standard base-pairing at the 3rd anti-codon position.
Source: Rfam by way of RNAcentral